RNAcentral lists this ribosomal RNA (253 nucleotides) under uncultured bacterium. RNAcentral's name for it is "partial 16S ribosomal RNA". It matches the Rfam family "Bacterial small subunit ribosomal RNA", at positions 524 to 776 of the family's 1533-position model. The record is from RNAcentral.
UACAGGGGGGGCAAGCGUUGUUCGGAAUUACUGGGCGUAAAGGGCUCGUAGGUGGCCAACUAAGUCAGACGUGAAAUCCCUCAGCUUAACUGGGGAACUGCGUCUGAUACUGGAUGGCUUGAGUUUGGGAGAGGGAUGCGGAAUUCCAGGUGUAGCGGUGAAAUGCGUAGAUAUCUGGAGGAACACCGGUGGCGAAGGCGGCAUCCUGGACCGAUACUGACGCUGAGGAGCGAAAGCCAGGGGAGCAAACGGG